Molecule: long non-coding RNA, 1569 nt
Filed under: Trifolium pratense (red clover)
Lineage: Eukaryota; Viridiplantae; Streptophyta; Magnoliopsida; Fabales; Fabaceae
Description: long non-coding RNA (TPRA_LNC012494)
Source: RNAcentral
UCCUUUUUCCUCUCACGUGAAACUCUCUCUUUUUCUCUACAUCACCAAAUAUUUUCUCUUAAGUGUUAGAAAGAACAAAGAGAGAUUUAAGAUAUAUUGAGUGAGAUUUUGAUCAAAGUUCCAAGACAGAAAGUGUAGAUCACAACUUGGUGAAGCUUCUGGUAUGAGCAAAGUGGUAAGAAAAAUCUCCCUCCCUGUUUUAUCCCUCUUGGCCGUGAGGCCCUAUUUUCCUAGAGUAGUGAGACUAUCUCUUUUCCUUUAUUAAUAGUAUAUAGUUAAUGGUAGAUCCAAAAGAAAAAUUGUGAUUGGAGUUGUUUGAUUUUAUGCUCAAAAAUAUUUUGUUAAGUUUUAAUUUUCUUGCUCAUUUCCUUUGAGAAUAUUGUUGUGAGUUUAUGUGAUUAUAUAUUCAAAAGAAAAUUUUGAUUUUGAGCACUUUGAAAUUUUAGAGAUAUUGUGAAAAAUGUCGAAAUGUCAUUUUUAUUUGAUGAACAUUUUUAUAUUGAGUAGAUCUAUCAAUGUAUCAGUUUAGUUUUUUUUUUUCGAAAAAUGAGUUUUGGUGUGAUUUCCAAUUCUGGCCGAAAUUUAAAAGGGUGUUUAGGUCAUUUUAAAAUUGAUAACUUGUCCUAAAAAGUAAGCCAUUAGAUCCUCCUUUUUGAAACGAUGAAAUGGACAUAUGGUUUGCAAUGAUCGGAUAAGGAAUGACUGAUUUACGGUCAUUUUAAAUCGUAAUUGUUUUACCGUUGUUUGAACUUGAAGUAUAGCAGUAGUAGAAAAAAAUAGAGAUUAUUUUUCUAUGAAAAAGGGAAAUGUUUCGAAAAUCAAUUGGUGAAUUGAAAUGAAAAUUCUUUUAUCGAGAAUUGUGUUUUAAAAGGCUUAAACAUUUGUGAACUUGUUUUAUUUUGAAGAAAAGUGUAGAACUUGGUUGAAAAGAUAUUGUUUUUGAAAAAGUUUUAAAAUAGUGGAGUUUUAUUUAAUGACGUUUUUGUGAUGCAAACUAUUUUAUUAAAGUUUUAAUGUUUUCAAAUAGUUGUUUUGAAAACCAUUUGAGCCUAGUUAGUUGUGAGGAAACAACCGUAGGUCUUGAUCCAUUAUUAGCCAAGCUAGGGCUUAAUUGAGUGACCAAUUAGAAUGUGGUAUUAACUUAAUUAACUUGAAUGAUUAAGGGUUAAGAGGAUUAGCCGGAUUUGGGACUUUUUCGAGAGAGACAGAUUUGCUCGCAUAGCGUAAGUUGAUUGUGUUGGAAGCUUGCUGAGGUAAGGGCACCUUCAUUUCUUUACUUUACCGGUUAAUGGCAUGCUUGGAUGCUUUGUUUGUGAUGUGUUUUUUAGUGCUUGGCAUGUAUAUGUUAUGUAUUAUAGGGAUGAGAACUUGUUUAAAAUACAUGCGUAUGUUUUACAUAUGAUUUGCGAAUAUAUGUAUUAACACGGAUCGUGAUUACAUAUGUGUAUGUAUGUGUAUUUUUGCAUGAGCAUGUAUGGAACGUGUAUUUCAGAUGGAGACUACAUGGGUGUUUGUCUGUGUGACUUCACCGGGGAUUUUUCUGUGUGACUUCCCUAUAUACGCUAAAAU